AGAGUUUGAUCCUGGCUCAGAAUCAACGCUGGCGGCGUGCCUAACACAUGCAAGUCGAACGAGAAAGUGGAGCAAUCCAUGAGUAAAGUGGCGACCGGGUGAGUAACACGUGACUAACCUACCCUAGAGUGGGGAAUAACUUCGGGAAACCGAGGCUAAUACCGCAUAACAUCACGAGGUGUAAAUUCCUUGUGAUCAAAGGAGCAAUUCGCUCAAGGAGGGGGUCGCGGCUGAUUAGCUAGUUGGUGAGGUAACGGCCCACCAAGGCUAAGAUCAGUAUCCGGCCUGAGAGGGCGCACGGACACACUGGAACUGAAACACGGUCCAGACUCCUACGGGAGGCAGCAGUGGGGAAUUUUGCGCAAUGGGGGAAACCCUGACGCAGCAACGCCGCGUGGAGGAUGAAGUCCCUUGGGAUGUAAACUCCUUUCGAUCGGGACGAUUAUGACCGGUACCGGAAGAAGAAGCACCGGCUACUCUGUGCCAGCAGCCGCGGUA
RNAcentral lists this ribosomal RNA (498 nucleotides) under uncultured Acidobacteriota bacterium. RNAcentral's name for it is "bacterial SSU rRNA". It matches the Rfam family "Bacterial small subunit ribosomal RNA", at positions 8 to 522 of the family's 1533-position model. The record is from RNAcentral. Lineage: Bacteria; Pseudomonadati; Acidobacteriota.